CUUACAUUAUACCUCGAGUAAUAAAGAUAGUGCUUAAUAGUUUCCAGAAGGGUUCAUAUGUUAAUAUCUAUAGGAUGGGAUGUGAAAGUAACAUCAAUCGAAAGGAAAGCUGGUUGCUAGUUGCGAAUAAUUACAAUAAUUUGCAAUUCAAACGGACGAAUAUAGAGAUAAAUAUCUUAAAAUGAUAUUUAAUAUUCAUUUUAUGAUGAAUUCUUCACUAUAAGGACACGUAAAGCGGUGAAGAUGGAGAAAGUAUUAGACAAGUACUGAAAUGACGAUCAACGUAGGCAUGUUGGCGCAAUUCUGCAAUUCCACGGCCAACAUUCGAAUCUCGCCGCUGCGAACCAUAGUAAAAGCGCGCCCAUCAUGCUCAAGCAUAUAUGCGCAGCACCUUGAAAACUGAGAAAAGCUUGAUGCAUAUACACGAUAACGUUCACGGGUACGUAAUUAACGCGAAAUGGAUAUUCAGCUUUCGAUGGAAAGGUGAUCGGUAAGACUACAGGUCCUAACGAAAAACAUAUCGCGGUCGCGUACAUCCACGCUAUGGAA
This is a long non-coding RNA of Apis florea (little honeybee), 549 nucleotides long. RefSeq lists it as uncharacterized. Lineage: Eukaryota; Metazoa; Arthropoda; Insecta; Hymenoptera; Apidae. The record is from RefSeq and is a predicted model, not a curated record.